AACGUAGGUGGCGAGCGUUAUCCGGAUUUACUGGGCGUAAAGGGUGUGCAGGCGGGCUGUUAAGUGGUGCAUGAAAUCUCCGCGCUUAACGUGGAGAGGCUGUGCCAGACUGGCAGUCUAGAGUACGAGAGAGGGUUGUGGAAGUUCCGGGUGUAGUGGUGAAAUGCGUAGAGAUCCGGAGGAACACCGGUGGGCGAAGGCGGGUCUCUGGGCCGAUACUGACGCUGAGGAGCGAAAGCGUGGGGAGCGAACAGG
RNAcentral lists this ribosomal RNA (255 nucleotides) under uncultured bacterium. Its description in RNAcentral is "partial 16S ribosomal RNA". It matches the Rfam family "Bacterial small subunit ribosomal RNA", at positions 524 to 776 of the family's 1533-position model. The record is from RNAcentral.